UGGGGAAUAUUGCACAAUGGGCGAAAGCCUGAUGCAGCGACGCCGCGUGCGGGAUGAAGGCCUUCGGGUUGUAAACCGCUUUUAAUUGGGAGCAAGCGAGAGUGAGUGUACCUUUUGAAUAAGCACCGGCUAACUACGUGCCAGCAGCCGCGGUAAUACGUAGGGUGCAAGCGUUAUCCGGAAUUAUUGGGCGUAAAGAGCUCGUAGGCGGUUUGUCACGCCUGGUGUGAAAGUCCAUCGCUUAACGGUGGAUCUGCGCCGGGUACGGGCAGGCUAGAGUGCAGUAGGGGAGAUUGGAAUUCCCGGUGUAACGGUGGAAUGUGUAGAUAUCGGGAAGAACACCAAUGGCGAAGGCAGAUCUCUGGGCUGUUACUGACGCUGAGGAGCGAAAGCAUGGGGAGCGAACAGGAUUAGAUACC
This 419-nucleotide ribosomal RNA is filed under the name uncultured bacterium. RNAcentral describes it as "partial 16S ribosomal RNA". It matches the Rfam family "Bacterial small subunit ribosomal RNA", at positions 355 to 786 of the family's 1533-position model. The record is from RNAcentral.